RNAcentral lists this long non-coding RNA (307 nucleotides) under Serinus canaria (Common canary). RNAcentral's name for it is "lncRNA (ENSSCAG00000009167.1)". Lineage: Eukaryota; Metazoa; Chordata; Aves; Passeriformes; Fringillidae. The record is from RNAcentral.
AGCAAUGAAGGCUCCGAGUGGAAGUCCUACACAGAGGGUUCAAGCUCAAUGCCAAAGGUUUUCCUGGGUAAUGCAAACAGCAAUGGGCGCAUCAAGAAUUUUUUUAACCCACCCAUCCUGUCCAGGUUCAUUCGCAUUGUUCCAAAAACAUGAACAUGCAUUUUAAAGAGAAGGGGAUAGAACAGGAGUGAAAAAAGUGUAAAAAUUAAACAAACAUUUUUUUCUAUUUUUCUUCUUUUUUUACUAUGUCACGAAAUGUUGUAAUUUUUCACUGGAAAAUAAAUCUAAUAUUGUUGCAUGAAAGGCA